This 441-nucleotide ribosomal RNA is filed under the name uncultured bacterium. RNAcentral describes it as "partial 16S ribosomal RNA". It matches the Rfam family "Bacterial small subunit ribosomal RNA", at positions 338 to 795 of the family's 1533-position model. The record is from RNAcentral.
CCUACGGGUGGCAGCAGUGGGGGAUAUUGCACAAUGGGGGAAACCCUGAUGCAGCGACGCCGCGUGAGUGAAGAAGUAUUUCGGUAUGUAAAGCUCUAUCAGCAGGGAAGAAAAAAGACGGUACCUGACUAAGAAGCCCCGGCUAACUACGUGCCAGCAGCCGCGGUAAUACGUAGGGGGCAAGCGUUAUCCGGAUUUACUGGGUGUAAAGGGAGCGUAGACGGCAAUACAAGUCGGAAGUGAAAUACCCGGGCUCAACCUGGGAACUGCUCUUGGAACUGCGUGGCUGGAGUGCAGGAGGGGCAGGCGGAAUUCCUGGUGUAGCGGUGAAAUGCGUAGAUAUCAGGAGGAACACCGGUGGCGAAGGCGGCCUGCUGGACUGCAACUGACGUUGAGGCCCGAAAGCGUGGGGAGCAAACAGGAUUAGAUACCCGGGUAGUC